UCUACACAUGACUGACUUAACAAUCACUUCAAACAGAGACCACAGGCUUCCAUAUUUUGGCAAGAAGGUAGAAAGCAUCCCAAGAUGGUCCCAUAAAUUUGCAAUUGAUUUGCCAACCUAGAUGACAUCCUACAGAAAAUAACUUCCUUCUAGUCUUAUUGCAAAUUACAUAAAAUAAUGAUACUAGUCAAGAACAUCAAGUCUCAAGAAUUAGCUCUAGAAGGCAGUGUCCAGCUAUCAAAAAAGAACAUUAGUUAGCAUAAGAGGAUAAUUUAUAAAGCUGCAGCUAGAAUUUCUUCAAGGACUAACCAGUAAUAAAAACUCAGGUUUUGUAUGCUUUUUUUUCUGUUCAGCCUUCCUUCUCUCUCCAAGUGGUGCAGUUCAACUAUCACUAACUUCUAACCUUUUUGUUUGUUGUUCUUCUGCAGGGAACAUUGUCGUAAUUUCCAUAGCCAUCUUGAUCAUGCUGUUUUCCAUUCAACGUUUCGGCACAGAUAAAGUUGGUUAUUCUUUUGCCCCCAUCAUACUAAUAUGGUUUAGCUUCAUUGGCGGUAUUGGACUCUAUAACUUAAUCAAGUAUGAUUUGGGUGUUUUGCGUGCAUUCAAUCCAAAGUACAUAAUAGAUUAUUUUAAAAGAAAUGGAAAACGGGGAUGGGUCUCUCUUGGUGGUGUUGUGCUGGCCAUUACAGGUGAUUCUAUAAUAGAAUGAUUAGUUCUCAUUAUGAUUUUUUUUGGUUUUUAACCUGGUUUUUCCCUUUAUGUACUAAGAGUACCUGUAUGAAACAGGAACGGAAGCAAUGUUUGCUGACCUGGGUCACUUUAACGUCAGAGCCAUUCAGGUAUUGGCAUACAAUUUUUUUUUUCUUUUCACAGUUCCAACCAAGUCUGACGAAAAUUGUUGGAGUGAACGUGGAUGCAAGUGUUCUAUAUAUGCAUAAUAUCACACACCUUUUAGCAUGCUUUACAAGUUUGUGAUUUUAUUCUCCUGUAGUUCGUAUGAAGCUUUUUCUGGGUGUUACUCCUUCACGCCUUAACCAUCUCUCUUAGUCUCCUCGGAACAUUAUCUCAUAAAACCCUCACUAGAAUAUAAUCACCAUUUCUUUUUCCAUUUUUUCUUCUUGAGAGAAUAGAAUCCAGUCACCAUCACAUCAAAGAAUGUUGGAGUUCGACCACGUGGCAAGAGUUUGGUUUUGGUUAAUGGUCAAAGUUAACCCCCAUACUCCGACUGCCUACAGGGUUUUUGGAUCACAUAAAAGGGUUCAUUUGCUCACUCAGCAAAGUUCCCAUCUGAAUGAGCCUUGAUUAAAGGCCACAAGUAAUUAUUUUAGUAGCAGUAAGUAUUCAUGUCCUUGCCAUUUACAUACCGGAACCUCACUUAUUUUUGGUUCAAUUUCUUUUCUGCCAAGUUGUCAAGGCUGGUUGCCAGCCUGACACCAAUUCUCCUUUAACUUGGUGCUAGUAGACUCUGCUCUGUCAACCAUGAAAUACACAAUAAUUUAUAAUUUUGAAACCUAAAAAACCAACACACUAAAUUGUGGUUUCUUCUAAUUUUCACCAUCAUUAUAUCAUGUAGCAUGCCUGUAAGGAAAGUACAAUAAGCCUUAAAGGACCAAUACAAAGUCCAUGGCUCCAUGCAACUUAUGUCCUAAAGCCCCUGGGGAUGGAGGCCAAACCAUAUUUUAGCUCUGUAAACUUCGAUGUCAAGUGCCUUUCAUCAUAAACAUCUCCAACAACAUCACAUGUUCACAUCAAUAAUAUUUCAAAAUGUUAGAAUGGCUUUGUGCGACUGAAAUCACGGCCUCUCCAUGACACAGUUAGGUAUCAGCUGCUUGGGCUAUGUCCCACAAAUUUCUACAUCUUUUAAAACAAAAUAUGGCAUACUAUAUGCAUGUUUCACUUUGGCUUGCCGGAGUCUUGGCUCAUUUCUUCGUAUGCAUACUGCUGACAAGCUUUAUGUUAAAGUUGCCAAUUUUUUUUACUAGCUAGAUAACUUACCUGAAAUCUAAGGUUUAGAAAUUGUUUAUAUUGCAGCAUAGUAUGAGUAUCUUGAAUGACACCACUAACAAAAUCUCUUUCAAAUUACAGAUCAGCUUCUGUUUUGUUUUGCUCCCAGCAGUAUCACUAGCUUACAUUGGGCAAGCUGCAUAUCUCACCAAAUUCCCUGAGGAAGUUGCUGAUACUUUUUACAAAUCAAUUCCAGGUAAGGCAUCUAGAGCAUCAAUAGUGGCAAUUUCUACAAAUUAAUUUUUGGCUUAUAUACAAGUUAUAAAGGAUUAUCUUAAAUUGUUUGCAGAUCCACUAUUCUGGCCAACAUUUAUAGUGGCUGUCUCUGCUGCCAUCAUUGCUAGCCAAGCUAUGAUAUCUGGUGCAUAUGCAAUCAUAUCACAGUCACAAGCUCUAGGAUGCUUCCCAAGGGUUAGAGUUUUCCACACUUCUGCUAAAUAUGAAGGGCAGGUUUAUAUUCCUGAAAUAAACUUUGGACUCAUGGCUGCCUGUGUAAUAGUGACAGCUAGCUUCAGAACAACAGAAAAGAUCGGAAAUGCUUAUGGUAAGUAUAAAAGGUCAUAUAUUUGUCAUAAAAAUUAUCUAUUGGGUAUUUAUUUUGGUUUCUGAAGGAAAAUUUGGAUUCCUGAAGCUAUAUACAAAAUAACCUUACUAAAAUGACUGUGCAAAUAUAACUGAACAAACCAACUAGAACACCACAUGUACAGGACUUUGAUGUUUCCCCUUGUAUGGAAUGUCAUGACCAAUGACACUGCACAUCUGAGAGAUAUGCAUCUCUAGCAGAAGUGGAAAAAAUAAAAAGUCGGAUAACCAUUAGUAAAAUCCAAGCAAUUACCAAUUUAGAAAAACUCAAUCCAUGUUAGAAAGCUAUUCAAGAGUCUCUGCUUUACCUCAUGCGAACCUUGUCCUAUACCAUUUGAUCAGUAAACUUAUAUGGAAACCACUCUUUUAUAUCUUUUACUAAACAAUGUAGAAACAUGAAUAACUACUUGGCAUCUGCAACAGCUUAUUAUUAAUAACCAAUUAUCAGAUUCAAAUACUAGGCAAGAAAAGACUUAAACAUAGGGCACGUAUGUCAAAUUAUGGCAUUCCUAGGCAUAUGCAAGUUUUCCAGAACACAUUUUACCUUAUUAUAUUCCUUGAUUUUUUUUCUUUUUUGGAUAACUUAACUUGGAUGUAACUAGGUUUUUUGUAUAAUCUUAUUGUUAUUUCAACAUUGUAAACUUUUCUUUUAAAAAAAAGACAGAUCUGGUUCAGACCUCUGAUAAAAUAAUGAAUACAUAAACUUCAGAAAAGAAGAGCAGUAGUAGAUAUCAAGAAGGAAAAAAAAAAUGUUUGUUUGCAGAAUGAACCAAACACAAUGCCUGAUACUUGCAUUACCAAUUGACAUCUACAAGGGUAAAGAAACCAAAACAACUUCACAAAAUGAAAUGGCACAAGGAUCAAUCCCCUACACUUUUCAUGUUUUCAAAUCCACCCAGCAGGGAGAAUUCAUAAUUGGUGUUCCUCAGUAUUAUCAUCAAUUUUUUAUGAACAAAUUAUGGUGUUAGCUGUAGUCCUCAUAAUUGUGAGCAUAAAAAAGAAACUUUAGAAUUUCCUUCCCUCCUGCCAAUUACUGUUGCUUGUUUGGCACCACUCCCCCAAGGGGUUACCCUUGCAGGAGGUCAAAGAUUCCUAUGUCUUGCUCAAAAACAAUUUCCCUCCUCUCCUAGAAAUUUCAAUAAGAAAAAGAAAAAAGGCAGCUAGAUUGGGUUUCUUUACCACAAAAAGACAAGAAGGUCCUGUACAAGCAGUAACAGAGACCACUUGCUGCCCUUAACACAUCUUUGAUCUACAAAGUUGCAGAAGAAGAUCUUUUGUAAUUAUAAACAAAUAACUCGGAUCACAUUCAUCAACCAAUAAUAAAUCUACCAGGAUAAGAAUCAAAAGGGACAUCAAGAUGUAGUGAUACCAGCACUAUGGCUCCAACUUUCAAGUGCUGGUCCAUGCCUGUCAGCACAUUUCAUGCUGGGUCUGUACCCGCACAUAAUAUUGGGUCAGCAUCAGAUAGCAGGUAAGCUGCUCCAUACCAAGUUGUGCCGACUUAUAUCAACUGCUGCCACUUGGUGUCAAGCCAAAAUGGCUCUUAAGACUCUCUCUCUCUCUCUCUCUCUCUCUCUCACACACACACACACACAUAUGUAUGUGUGUGUGGCAUGUGGGCUGGCAUGACAUAGGAUCUGCUAUGCUGGCACUUCCUGUGCUAGCAGCACUUCAAUAUUUGAUCAACGCCAUAAAAAUUUAUGCCAGCUUCUACCAACUUCUCCAUUUUGUUUUUGAGACAUCUAAAGUAUCAUUAUAUAUCCCUGUGCAGGAAUUGCAGUGGUUUCUGUAAUGCUGAUCACAACAUCCAUGGUCACACUUAUUAUGAUCGUCAUAUGGAAAACGAACAUUUGGUUGAUUAUAUUGUUCUUCUCACUGUUCAGUGCAAUAGAGAUCCUAUAUUUAUCUGCAGUCCUAUACAAGUUUGUAGAUGGUGGAUUCCUACCACUGGCCUUCUCAUUUUUUAUGAUGCUAAUAAUGGGUAUAUGGCACUAUGUGCAUGUAAAAAGAUACAAAUUCGAGCUCAAACACAUAGUUUCAAGGGAUUACAUAACACAAUUAGCCUUGAAACAAGAUGUAAGAAGGAUACCAGGGGUUGGAUUUCUAUACUCCGAGCUCGUCCAAGGCAUCCCACCCAUAUUCAGCCACUUUGUUGAGAAAAUACCCUCCAUUCAUUCUGUUCUUGUCUUUGUUUCAAUAAAGCACUUGCCAAUCAGUAGAGUGGAAAUGGAAGAACGCUUUCUUUUCAGACAAAUUGGACCCAGAGACUACAGAAUGUUCCGAUGUGUGGUACGCUAUGGAUAUAAUGAUGUUCUGGAAGAGGCCAAGGAAUUUGAACUAUUGCUCAUUGAACAACUGAAGCAGUUUAUCCACCAUGAGUACUUCUUUAUUGAAAGUGGACCUGCUAAGCAAAGUGAUCCACUCCCUGAGGGAGAAAACCUUGCAAGCUCGGAGCUUGAAACAAGCGAAACCAAGCCACAAAGAUCAGGAUCAUCCACAGUGCAUGUUGAGGAAACAAUGAGACCACAAAGUUCACCUAAUGACUCUUCAAGAUCUAUCCAUUAUGGUAUCAGCAAAUGCUCAACAAACUCUUCUGGCAGAAAUACGGUUGCACAGAUUCCAUCAGUUGAAGAGGAGAAACAGUUUGUUCAGAAAGAAAUGGAGAAGGGGGUGGUAUAUCUAUUGGCAGAAGCUGAAGUCGUAGCAGAGAAUAAUUCCUCUAUUGUCAAGAAAUUAGUGGUCAACUACAUCUACAAUUUCAUAAGAAGAAACAUCAGGCAGGGAGAAAAGGCUUUGUCAAUUCCACGCAGCAAGCUGCUCAAGGUGGGAAUGACAUAUGAAAUCUAGAACAUCCAAACAAGCUUCAUUGUCAGUUGUCACAGUAUUAUCCAGAUAAUGUCCCACUUGUAUUCCACAACAGUGUGAACUGUGCUAUAGUUUAUGGCAACUGAUGAUGGGUUGGCUGGUAAAGCCAAAAACUCCUGUAACAAUAAAUGACCAGAAUUCCAUGUGAAAAGAAAUCAAUCACACAACUAUGCUUCUGUAUACUUUGGACUCCUAAGGUAUAAUAUAGAGAUUAAGAGGCAUGCAUUAUGAUAUGCUUGAAGAUAUAUUAUUUCAAUAAUUUCUCUUUGGCCAUCAGCCCAGUUGUUCCCAUGAUGAGAGAAAACAGACUUCAGAUUUAUAGAUCAAUAUGUCAUUUACAGAUUUCUUAUUGCUUCUGAAAAAAAGAAAUGGUGACAACCUACCAAACUUAGUCACCAAAAUCUUUUAAAAUAGAAAGAUUAACCAAAUAUGUGGAAAACAGACCACCUUACAUUUAUUCGAGAAAAACAGACCAUAUGAUUCCAGACCACUAUAAUAUUCUGGUGUUAAUAUUCUAACAGUCCCUCAUGAGAAAAAUGAAGAGCAAGACCUGGCUUUCAUAAUUGCAUUAGGAACUGGACUAACACAUUAUAAUAACCAAAAAUAUUCUUUAAUGAAAGAGACUGGAAUGUAUAGUCAACUUGCAAUAGCACUGGCUUGUAGAUCAUUCAUCAGGGAGGAAAAUAAUUUUAGUCUCCUCCAAUAAUGGAGGUAAUCAAAUUCCUCGUUCUCCAGUGCAGUAAGGAACUUCAUGUAGGUAUAUUUUACUUAAGUAACAAUUCAACAAGAGAACUUCAAUAAUUUAUGAUGAUAUUAAUUAAUGACAUAAAGAACAUGCAAUAUGCAUAAAUUUAUAUUUAUUUAUGGAGCUUCAGAUUUGGGUUGCUUGGUGUAUGGCAAGUUAAACUUAAUAAAACUUUGUUUCUGAUUUUGUAAUACAGACCCAGUGGGGUAGCUUAUUGGGCCUAUUUUCUAGGCUCAAACCCUAAAUUUUGGAUUGGUUUUGUUUUGGGUUGGUGGAUUAUCAGCCUCAAAGCUACCCCCACAGGGAAGCUCAAGGUCAUGCAUCCUAAUUCAUACAGACGAGUGUACAGGAUGGCACAAGUUCGAUUGGGCUCAUCCCAGACCUGCCUGCCCAGCCCACCCAUUGGAUAGGGUUGGGUUGAGGUUUUAUAAACUUAAUGCUUGGGCUUAACGAUCCUAACCUGACCUCAAGUAGGUCUGGGUUAGGGUUGACUUUCAACCCAACCCUAACUGAACCCAAAUCUGAUCCAACUUGACUUAACCCCUCUUAACUUGAUAUAUAAAUACAUAAUUCAUAUUCAUAUUUCAUACAAGUUAUUUAUAUAGUUAUAUACAUAUGUUUUCAAUUUCAUUAACUUAUAUAUAACUAUACAAUUGAACUUUAUGAAUGAUUGAGAUCUCGAUUCAAUAAAUAUCGAAUAAAAAUGUCCCAAGCAUUUCUCUAAAAAAUUUCUAUUCAAUAUUAUUAAUGGAAAAGAUAAUUUUGUAUUUCUUAUUUUCAUCUCCAUGAAUACAACUCUUUAAAUAGACUAAAAGAGAAUUGCUACUAUGGUAUCUUUACAAUUAUAUCCAAACACAUAUGGAAGCUAUACAAUUGUGUCUAAUAAUCAAAUAAGUAUGGUAAAUUUGAUCUUGGAAUCUCUAUAAUAAUCACUACCAUUAUAGCCAUGAUAUUUACGACUAUAAUAGCUAUGAUAUUCUGACCAUAACAACCAUGAUAUUCUGAUCUUGAAAUCUUUGAGAAUAGCCAUGAUAUUCUGACCAUAAUAGUCAUGAUAUUCUGAUCUUGAAAUCUUUGAGGUCAUGCUUACCAUAGUAGUCAUGAUCUUGACAACUCAUUAUAAUAUUCACCAUGAUUCUAUAUUUUAUUCUUAACACCCCCCCUCAAGCUGAAGCAUAGAUAUUAAUCAUGCCCAGCUUGUCACAAAUAUAAUCAAUCCUAGUCCGAGUAAGACUCUUUGUAAAUAAAUCGGCUAGUUGAUCCUCUGAGUGUAUGUAACUGAUAGAAAUGAGCUUUUGCUGAAUUUUCUCCCUCACAAAGUGACAAUCAACUUCGAUGUGUUUCGUCCUCUCAUAAAACAUUGGAUUUGAUGGAAAUGAGCUUUUGCUGAAUUUUCUCCCUUACAAAGUGACAAUCAACUUCGAUGUGCUUCAUCCUCUCAUGAAACACUGGAUUUGAUGCAAUAUGCAUAGCUGCCUGAUUAUCACACCACAGCUUCAUAGGAGAAGAAUCUAUAAGAUCAAUCUUUUCUAGAAAAUAUCGAAUCCACAUCAAUUCACAUAUUGUCUAUGCCAUGACCUAGUAUUCUGAUUCUGCACUUGACCGAGAGAUUAUAUUUUGUUUCUUACUCUUCUAAGAUAUUAAAUUUUCUCCCAUAAAUACACAAUAUCCUGUUGUAGACUUCCUAUCAUUAAGCAAACCUGCCCAAUCAGCAUCAGUGAACCCCUCAAUCUGUAUACCACCAUGAUCUCCAUACACAAUACCCUUUCCUGGGGUUCCUUUUAAGUAUCUCACUAUACGGAUUAAGGCAUCCCAAUGUACAGUAGUGGACGCUAUCAUGAACUGACUCAAUACACUCACAGGAAAUGCAAUGUCUGGUCGAGUGAUUGUGAGGUAGUUGAGUUUUCCAACAAGUCUUCUGUAUUUCUCUGGUCCAGUAAACAUCUCUGCUUCAUCUACUACAAGUUUGAUAUUUGGAUCCAUAGGAGUUUCGCAAGGCUUUGCUCCAAGUAGACCAAUAUCUGUUAAAAGAUCUAGAACAUACUUUCUUUGAGAAAGAAAUAUAUCUUUUUUUGAGUAAGCUAGUUCAAUCCCAAGAAAGUAUUUCAGUUGUCCCAAAUCUUUUGUUUGAAAACUUGCCUGAAGAAACUCCUUUAGUGAAGAAAUACCCUGUGCGUCGCUCCCUGUAAUCACAAUAUCAUCAAUAUACACAAUCAAAAGGCAAAUAUCAACAUCCCCCCACCUCCACUUAGAAAUUUCAAUGAGAAGAAAAAGAGAAAAGGCAAACUUAUUGAGGUUCUUCAUCAAAAUAAUAAAUGGUCUUAGUUAUCAGUGGCAUAAAAAGGCCAGCAUUACCCUUCACCACUUCCCUAAAUUUAGAAAGAUGUAGAAGAUGGCAUUAGGAUAAGAUCAAUCAAUAAUCAAUAUACUAGUAUAAGAAUCAAGUAAAAGGUAUUAGGAUGUGGCAUCUCAAAACGUUACACAGGACUGAACAAAUGAUAAUUGACACAUCAAACAUUUAUUUCAGUUGCUGCUAACUUUUCUGCUUUGUUUGUCAAAACACCUCUGGAAAUUUUGUAGCUCCUUUCGCAGGAUUCCCAGUGGUUUCUGUUAUGCUCAUUGCAACACUCAUGGUCACAGCCAUCAUGCUUUUCAUAUGGGAAACAAAGAUUUGGUGGAUUGUACUGUUCUUCUCUGUGUACACUAUUAUAGAGAUCGUGUAUAUAUCUUCACUUCUGUACAACUUUGUAGAUGCUGGUUUUCUACCACUGGCCUCAUUUUUCAUGAUGCACAUAAUGGGUAUCUGGCACUAUAUACACAAAAAGAUACAAGUUUGAGCUCAAAAACAAAGUAUCAAGUGAUUACACAGCAGAAUUGGUCUUGAAACAAGAUGUAAGAAGGAUACCUAGAAUUGGUCUCCUAUACUCAGAACUUGUGCAAGGCAUUGCACCUAUAUUUUCCCACUUUGUUGAGAAAAUACCCCCAUCCAUUCUGUCCUCAUGUUUGUGUCAGCGAAACACUGGCCAAUAAGUGAAGUGGAAAUGCAGGAACACUGUCUUUUCAGACAGGCUGGGCCAAGAGACUGUAGAAUGUUCCAAUGUGUGGUACGCUAUAGAUAUAAAGAUGUUUUUGAAGAGGCCAAGGAAUUCGGAAAUUUGCUCAUUCAGCAACUGAAACAAUUUGUCCACCACAAGUACUUUUUGAAAGUGGGCCUGCUAGGCAAAGUGAUCCUCUGCACGAGGCAGCAAACCUUGCAAGCUCUGCAUUUGAAACAAAUGACACCAAGCAAUGAAGAUCAGGAUUGUCCACCAGUGCCCACCGAAGAAACACUGAAACCAUGAAAUUCACCUAAUUUCUCUUCAAGAUCUAUUCAUUAUAGGACAAUCAAUGCUCAACAAACUCUUCAGGCAAAAUUGCUGUUGGUCAAACCCAGUCGGCUGAAAAUGAGAAACAGUUCAUUCACAAAGAUCUGAAGAAUGGGGUGAUGUAUCUAACGGAGAAACUGAAGUGGUGGCAGAGAACAAUUCCUUUAUUAUCAAUAAAGUAGUUAUUAACAUCUGCAAUUUCAUGAGGAGAGACUUCAGGCAGGAAGAAAAGGUUUUAUCAAUUCUGCAGGGCAAGCUGCACAAGUUGGGGAAUAACAUAUGAAACUAGGUUCUGUCCUAAUGAGAUUCAUAAUCACUAUAUCAUCCAAAUAAUAGUCUACUUGUAAUCCACAACAAGGUUAUCAUCAUGGAGAGGUGAUGAUGGAUUGGCUGGACAAUCUAAAGCUCAAGUAAGAAUAAAUGACCAUAAUCCAUGGGACAAGAAGUCAAGCACAUAAUGCAAUAUGAUUCUCUUAUUCUAGACCAUAAAUUCUCGAAUGUGCCCAUAUUUGCUUUAUAAGAGGGGGCAGACAUUCUAAUAUGCUUGAGAAUAUCUUAGAUCAAUAUUUUCUCUUUAGCUUUCCUUUUAAUUCAUCUACCAUUUGUCCCGAUGAUGAAAGAAAAGAUAUUACUAUGUCUCCCUCUGCUAAUAAAAACCUACCACAUUUAUUAGUAAGAACUUCUUAAAUGAGAAAUAUCUUUCUCACCUAUGUUUGCAAUUUCAUUUGACUGAACCAAAAUUUUGAAACUACUGCUUUCUUUUUUUUCUUUUGCCGGGUGGUGGGGGGGCAUGCAACUUGUGUUCAUGAUAUAAACACAAGUUCAUAAGCCUUACCAAUUCCUUUCAAAUUUUUUUUUGUAUAUUUUAAUCAGAAAAAAGGGUCUACGAAGCUCGAGGCCCGACCCAAGAUAUGUAAGUACCCGGCUCGGCGCCUGACUAAUUUCACUUUUAUCUUUCGUUGAGCCCUGCCCGAACCUGGCAUGGCCUGCCCAUUGAACAGGUCCAAUAUGCCCCAAAACCAACUAACGGUUUACCAAUAUCGGUAAGCUUUUCACCGAAACACUUCACAUCUUUUUGCUCCUAAAAUGCUGUGCAACUCAUUUUGAUCAGCUCCUGCAUGGGCAAUUAGCUUUCCAUUCACCAAGUAAUAAUGCAUGAGAAAAAUAUCGACCAAAGCAACAAAAGCAAAGCAGCAGGUAUUUCUGCUAUUGAUCUUGGCAAUUAUAAAGUUUUAGGCUUAUACUAUUUCCAUCUACAUUUCUCUAAGCACCUCAACUGGUUCUAUAAACGACCGAAAUGGGUAUACGCUACAUCAGUUCUACUCAAACAAGCCAUAAUCCUUCCAAAGCAUUACAUCAAACGGUUUACAAGCAUUGCGUUCCCAAACUUAAGAGGAAACCCUUGUGGAAAUACAGGAAGAAAAAAGAAAUCACUGCGAUGGAAAAAAAAAAAUCCUCGAUGAAUUAUUAAAAAAGCUUCAGAAUCAGGGAUUUACCUUUCGAUAUGCGCAUCGGAUCGUAAAGAGAGAUCGCUCGCUCGAAGAAAAACCUGUGGCGGUAUGGAUGAGCCCAUCUGCGUCUACAGGUGCUACCGACCUAUCGCGCAGUACCGGAUCCGGUUUCUACUAAGUUUGGACCCGGAUUCACCGAGAACUCCCUUUCUUUAUUUUUUUUCCCCUUUUUGGGGUUGUGGUGGGGGAUCGAGGACACACCAAACUCUUUAUGCACCACGGACGGUGCACGAAACCU
RNAcentral lists this long non-coding RNA (11310 nucleotides) under Elaeis guineensis (African oil palm). Its description in RNAcentral is "long non-coding RNA (EGUI_LNC019572)". Lineage: Eukaryota; Viridiplantae; Streptophyta; Magnoliopsida; Arecales; Arecaceae. The record is from RNAcentral.